This 68-nucleotide transfer RNA is filed under the name Myotis lucifugus (little brown bat). RNAcentral describes it as "tRNA-His". It matches the Rfam family "tRNA". From Rfam's summary of the family: Transfer RNA (tRNA) molecules are approximately 80 nucleotides in length. The record is from RNAcentral. RNAcentral also lists the same sequence under 3 other names. Lineage: Eukaryota; Metazoa; Chordata; Mammalia; Chiroptera; Vespertilionidae.
GUAAAUAUAGUUUAGUAAAAACAUUAGAUUGUGAAUCUAAAAAUAGAAGCAUAAAUUUCUUAUUUACC